Molecule: ribosomal RNA, 801 nt
Filed under: Tricharina gilva
Lineage: Eukaryota; Fungi; Ascomycota; Pezizomycetes; Pezizales; Pyronemataceae
Description: partial large subunit ribosomal RNA
Rfam family: Eukaryotic large subunit ribosomal RNA
Source: RNAcentral
UAGUAACUGCGAGUGAAGCGGCAAAAGCUCAAAUUUGAAAUCGGUGUCCUUCUCGGGCAUCGAGUUGUAAUUUGGAGGGAUAACUUCGGUACGGACUACAUCGUAAGUUCCUUGGAACAGGACGUCAUAGAGGGUGAGAAUCCCGUGUCUUGGUGUUUGGCCGUGCCAUGUGAAGUGUCUCCGACGAGUCGAGUUGUUUGGGAAUGCAGCUCAAAAUGGGUGGUAAAUUUCAUCUAAAGCUAAAUAUUGGCGAGAGACCGAUAGCGCACAAGUAGAGUGAUCGAAAGAUGAAAAGCACUUUGAAAAGAGAGUUAAAAAGUACGUGAAAUUGUUGAAAGGGAAGCGCUUGCGACCAGACUCGAUCUUUGGUGAUCAGCCGGGCUUCGGUCCGGUGCCCUCACCAUUGAUUGGGCCAGCAUCGGUUCUGACGGCGGGACAAAAGGAGGAGGAAUGUGGCUCCCCUCGGGGAGUGUUAUAGCCUUCUUCACAAUGCCGCCAGUUGGGACCGAGGACCGCGCUUCGGCUAGGAUGCUGGCGUAAUGGUCUUAAGCGACCCGUCUUGAAACACGGACCAAGGAGUCUAACAUCUAUGCGAGUGUUCGGGUGGAAAACCCUUGCGCGUAAUGAAAGUGAACGGAGGUGUGAACCCUUUACCGGGUGCAACAUCGACCGGUCCUGAUGUCUUCGGAAGGAUCUGAGUAAGAGCAUAGCUGUUGGGACCCGAAAGAUGGUGAACUAUGCCUGAAUAGGGUGAAGCCAGAGGAAACUCUGGUGGAGGCUCGCAGCGGUUCUGACGUGCAA